AUGGAGACAAGCAUAGUGGAAAAUUAUCAAAGGACAACAACGAACCGGAGAUGUUCUGAAAGGGUUCGUGUAUUUACCAGCCAAAGGACAAAGCCUGGAAGACCGUCAGGUCAACUACAUGAAUGGCAAGAUAAUGCUGGAUGGCAAUGGCAGUGCAGCUGGCCCUUGAGGACUCUGGUUGCUCUUGUAGUAUUAGGGGGUAGUGUUGUUGUACUCAGCGCCUAUGUAUCCAGCCUUGAGUGUGUGCGUGUGUUGUGGUGGCGUGCAUUUGUGUCUGAGUUGUGGUCGGCCAUUGCUUUAUAUAUAAAGCGGGGCGAAAGCCUUUUUCAGUAA
This 333-nucleotide ribosomal RNA is filed under the name Triticum aestivum (bread wheat). Its description in RNAcentral is "partial small subunit ribosomal RNA". The record is from RNAcentral. Lineage: Eukaryota; Viridiplantae; Streptophyta; Magnoliopsida; Poales; Poaceae.